Molecule: ribosomal RNA, 301 nt
Filed under: uncultured bacterium
Lineage: Bacteria
Description: partial 16S ribosomal RNA
Rfam family: Bacterial small subunit ribosomal RNA
Source: RNAcentral
CAGUAGCCGCGGGAAUACGAAGGGGGCUAGCGUUGUUUGGAAUUACUGGGCGUAAAGCGCACGUAGGCGGAUUGUUAAGUUAGGGGUGAAAUCCCAGGGCUCAACCCUGGAACUGCCUCUAAUACUGGCAAUCUCGAGUCCGAGAGAGGUGAGUGGAAUUCCGAGUGUAGAGGUGAAAUUCGUAGAUAUUCGGAGGAACACCAGUGGCGAAGGCGGCUCACUGGCUCGGUACUGACGCUGAGGUGCGAAAGCGUGGGGAGCAAACAGGAUUAGAUACCCCGGUAGUCCCUGUCUCUUAUAC